This 274-nucleotide ribosomal RNA is filed under the name uncultured bacterium. RNAcentral's name for it is "partial 16S ribosomal RNA". It matches the Rfam family "Bacterial small subunit ribosomal RNA", at positions 523 to 796 of the family's 1533-position model. The record is from RNAcentral.
AUACGGAGGGGGCUAGCGUUGUUCGGAAUCACUGGGCGUAAAGCGCGCGUAGGCGGACUGAAAAGUUGGGGGUGAAAGCCCGGGGCUCAACCUCGGAACUGCCUCCAAAACUCUCAGUCUCGAGUCCGGGAGAGGUGAGUGGAAUUCCGAGUGUAGAGGUGAAAUUCGUAGAUAUUCGGAGGAACACCAGUGGCGAAGGCGACUCACUGGCCCGGUACUGACGCUGAGGUGCGAAAGCGUGGGGAGCAAACAGGAUUAGAAACCCCAGUAGUCC